CAGGUUCGAAUAGUUCGGAUAUUUCGGAUAAUUCGGAUAAUUUGGAUAAAAUAUCGGUUAUUUAAGGUAAAAUAUUAAAUUAGUAGAAUGAUUUAGAUAAAAGAUUUAAAUAUUUCAGAUUACUUUGGAUAUUUCGGAUAAAACUAUUCGGAUAGUUUCGGAUAUUUUCGGGUAGUUUGAAUAUUUUAUAGUAAUUUAGUUAUCUUCAACUAUUUUCAGAUAUUUUUAAUAGAAUUUUAAAUUAAAAGUAUAUAUUUAGCUAUGUUAUAUGUAUAUAUAAUUAAUAUUUUUAUAUAUUGGGAUACCCGUUCGGUUCCGAUUCGGUUUGGUUAUUUCGGAUAUAAAAAUAUAGAAACUAUUCGGAUAUUUGAGGGCAUUGGUCCGGUUCCGAUUUUAGGUAUUUUGGUUCGGUUUCGGUUUGGUUCUUCAGUUCCGGUUAUUUUGCAAGGCCUAAUGGCAACAUACAAUAGGACCAAUCUACUUUACGUUGUUUUAUACGUCGAGAUGGUUAUAACAUAUGCAUUUAUUUUUUAACCUGUACCUAACUGAUGCAGAGAGGAAUGUGUGGUAUGAAUAUAAAGAAUAUGGUUUUGUUACUAUCAACAGCAGUAAAUGCUAUGCAAUGAAGAGUUGAAGAUCCUUAUAAUUUCUGACAUGACUUCAAAGCUAAACGGAUAUCUAUCUUUACUUGGAAGCAACAUAUUCUAGUUCAUGACUUGUUGUAUUAGAUGUAAACAAAGCAACUCCCAUGGAUUUGCAUCCCCAAGAUCCCACCAAAAGACAUGCCCACGACCACGAAGUAUAUAAACCACCCAAGCAUGUGCGUUUACUUUGUAGAACUUUGUAAGCUUCAUAGACAAGUAGUGUCAAACGCCAAACCGGGUGAUUGCCAGUGCCAUGUGAGGAUCUUUAUUAAUCUCCGAACCAGGAGGAGAAUGAAGUACGGGAAUUAAAAAACAAGAAAUACUCUAUAAUUUUUUUUGGUGCUAAAUUAAUACUCUAUAAUUUGUAGUUACAAGGUGGUUUGCCGUUACAAGAUUGCGAUGGAUCUUUAUGAUGGCUCAAGAAUCCACUAUUAACAUGGAAAAGGAUUGCCUAGAGGUUGAAAAUAAAAGUUAUAUCGAUCAACAGAAGUACACUAUGCACGUUGGAACCAGGGAAAACCGAUUACAAAUUAAUAUCGAUAAUAGUAUGAAUUCCUAAGGAGCAAAAAAGGCAAGUUGCUAUCGCCGGUGGCAUGAAGGACUCACUCAACUGUCUUCCUUGGUUCCACCCUUAAUUUCAUUAAGCAGAUAGCUGUACAUGAUUUUCUCUAUUAUAAUAUAAUGGACACUAUAAAUGAACUGUGUAAACUAUAAAACGAGUAUGAGUUUACAAAAAGAAAAAAAAAACUAUAAAACGAGUCAAAGUGAAUUGCCCCACACUACUAUCACUUGAGUAUUCCAAAUAUGAUGUCGUACUGUCAUACACUUUUUCUAAGUUAUGCAGUAUAUCAUAAGUUUCAUACGUACCUAGUUGAUAGAUUUGUGUUAAGUACAAGUCAUUAUAAUUUUUUGUUUCUCUAGAUAAAACAAACUGAAGUUAGGAAAUCACAAAAAGGAGCACUCGAAUACAUUACGUACAGAAGAAAAUUAAAUGAAGAAAAAUUGAAGCUCAAGUAGGUGCAUCGAGUCAGAGAGUCAAUUUUAUCACGCCCAACCAAACAUCUAUUCUUCGUGCUUCAUUGUUUUAAACCACACUCAAUGUGAUUUGUCUCCUAUAUUUGUUUCGAAUGUUAUCAAAAUAAUAAGUCGUAAGGUUUCUAUUUCAGCUUCUUUUUUUAGUACAACGUAAAGAUGAUAUACUGAAUUCAGCUUCUUUUUUUUAGUACAACCUAAAGAUGAUAUUCCAACUAAAAUCCCAAGUUCGCAAGUUAACCAAAGCUAAAAACAAAAUAUACGAACGAUAUAUGUUUGUUUUUAAUAAAAUUAUAUAUCAUAUAGAUUAAACUCUAUAUAGACUCUAAACCUAAAUUUAAGAUUCCCUACAGUCUAUGCAGUUUUUAAACUCUCAACUAGACAAACUAGCUUUGUCAUUCCCUGUUGGUAUCCAACUUUCGUCUGAGUGUUAAUUAGAACAAAAAAGUUCUGAAAAUAUACAAAUUUCGGAUCCAAAAAAUAUCUAAAAGUAUA
Molecule: long non-coding RNA, 2171 nt
Organism: Brassica rapa (field mustard)
Lineage: Eukaryota; Viridiplantae; Streptophyta; Magnoliopsida; Brassicales; Brassicaceae
Source: RefSeq, a predicted model, not a curated record